AGUUCAGCAGAGCUGCUGCACAAUGACUGGGUCCUUCUGCUUCUGAGAAUCAAACGGUCCUUUUUUGCUAAGGAAGAAAAUAAGCUGGAACGAACACUGUCAUAUCUUCUUCUUGAAGAAAGCUUUCAAUACAAUAUUCCUCAGCAAUAACUCAGACAUUCACAUUAAAAUACUCACAAAUUGUCAUGGAAGUUAAAUACACACGAUAUGGAAUCUACUCUGGACACACAAAAUGAAGUCGCUGCCUCCUUGGUCUGAGAUAAUAAAUGACAGUGACAAGGACAAUAAUCCAUAUCAGCUCCCACAAGGAUAUUCACAGAAGCAACAUGGUGACAAUUUACCGGUGACUAAACAUGCCUUUGGAUGAUAUUUUAGCCUAAAUUCUUAGGAAAGUCCAGUGCUACUUUAAACAUCUACUUUUUGCCUAAAGAUGUAGGCGGGAA
This is a long non-coding RNA of Cervus elaphus (red deer), 443 nucleotides long. RefSeq lists it as uncharacterized. The transcript has 3 exons. The record is from RefSeq and is a predicted model, not a curated record. Lineage: Eukaryota; Metazoa; Chordata; Mammalia; Artiodactyla; Cervidae.